RNAcentral lists this ribosomal RNA (250 nucleotides) under uncultured bacterium. RNAcentral's name for it is "partial 16S ribosomal RNA". It matches the Rfam family "Bacterial small subunit ribosomal RNA", at positions 57 to 305 of the family's 1533-position model. The record is from RNAcentral.
GCAAGUCGAACGGAAACGAUAGUAGCUUGCUACUAGGCGUCGAGUGGCGGACGGGUGAGUAAUACUUAGGAAUCUGCCCAGUAGCGGGGGACAACUCGAGGAAACUCGAGCUAAUACCGCAUACGCCCUACGGGGGAAAGCAGGGGAUCUUCGGACCUUGCACUAUUGGAUGAGCCUAAGCGAGAUUAGCUUGUUGGUGGGGUAAUGGCCUACCAAGGCUGCGAUCUCUAGCUGGUCUGAGAGGACGAUC